GUUUAAAAUGCGCUAAAAUAAAUCAUUGCUAAUUGUUAAAAGAACAUCUAUUUCUAUAUAAGUUACAAGACGGUUAUUUAGCCACUGAUCAUUCAUUUUGUUACAUAGUUGACUUUUCACAACUUUCGCAGCAGAAAAAACAUGUUCAACACUUGUAGUUGUUAUUCACAAGAGCAAAACCAACUUCAAAAGUUUAUAAAUAUAACAAAUGUAUUGCACUUAUUUAUUUCGUCUGAGAAAGAUGUGUUUUGAUAUAGUUAUGUGUUUUAUUAUU
This 274-nucleotide long non-coding RNA is filed under the name Medicago truncatula (barrel medic). RNAcentral describes it as "lncRNA gene23555". The record is from RNAcentral. Lineage: Eukaryota; Viridiplantae; Streptophyta; Magnoliopsida; Fabales; Fabaceae.